AGAGUUUGAUCAUGGCUCAGAGCGAACGCUGGCGGCAGGCCUAAUACAUGCAAGUCGAGCGCACCUUCGGGUGAGCGGCGGACGGGUGAGUAACGCGUGGGAAUGUGCCCUUUGGUACGGAACAACUGAGGGAAACUUCAGCUAAUACCGUAUGUGCCCUUCGGGGGAAAGAUUUAUCGCCAUUGGAGCAGCCCGCGUUGGAUUAGGCAGUUGGUGAGGUAAAGGCUCACCAAGCCUACGAUCCAUAGCUGGUCUGAGAGGAUGAUCAGCCACACUGGGACUGAGACACGGCCCAGACUCCUACGGGAGGCAGCAGUAGGGAAUCUUGCGCAAUGGGCGAAAGCCUGACGCAGCCAUGCCGCGUGAAUGAUGAAGGUCUUAGGAUUGUAAAAUUCUUUCACCGGGGAAGAUAAUGACGGUACCCGGAGAAGAAGCCCCGGCUAACUUCGUGCCUGCAGCCGCGGUAAUACGAAGGGGGCUAGCGUUGCUCGGAAUUACUGGGCGUAAAGGGCGCGUAGGCGGAUAUUUAAGUCGGGGGUGAAAGCCCAGGGCUCAACCCUGGAAUAGCCUUCGAUACUGGAUAUCUUGAGUUCGGGAGAGGUGAGUGGAACUCCGAGUGUAGAGGUGAAAUUCGUAGAUAUUCGGAAGAACACCAGUGGCGAAGGCGACUCACUGGCCCGAUACUGACGCUGAGGCGCGAAAGCGUGGGGAGCAAACAGGAUUAGAUACCCUAGUAGUCC
RNAcentral lists this ribosomal RNA (740 nucleotides) under uncultured bacterium. RNAcentral describes it as "bacterial SSU rRNA". It matches the Rfam family "Bacterial small subunit ribosomal RNA", at positions 8 to 796 of the family's 1533-position model. The record is from RNAcentral.